CCCUGCACUCUGGGAUAAGCCUUGGAAACGGGGUCUAAUACCGGAUAUCACAAUCUCUCGCAUGGGGGGUUGUUGAAAGUUCUGGCGGUGCAGGAUGAACCCGCGGCCUAUCAGCUUGUUGGUGGGGUAGUGGCCUACCAAGGCGACGACGGGUAGCCGGCCUGAGAGGGUGACCGGCCACACUGGGACUGAGACACGGCCCAGACUCCUACGGGAGGCAGCAGUGGGGAAUAUUGCACAAUGGGCGCAAGCCUGAUGCAGCGACGCCGCGUGAGGGAUGACGGCCUUCGGGUUGUAAACCUCUUUCGCCAGGGACGAAGCGCAAGUGACGGUACCUGGAUAAGAAGCACCGGCUAACUACGUGCCAGCAGCCGCGGUAAUACGUAGGGUGCGAGCGUUGUCCGGAUUUAUUGGGCGUAAAGAGCUCGUAGGCGGUUUGUCGCGUCGGCCGUGAAAUCUCCACGCUUAACGUGGAGCGUGCGGUCGAUACGGGCAGACUUGAGUUCGGUAGGGGAGACUGGAAUUCCUGGUGUA
This 534-nucleotide ribosomal RNA is filed under the name Amycolatopsis sp. SAUK6028. RNAcentral describes it as "bacterial SSU rRNA". It matches the Rfam family "Bacterial small subunit ribosomal RNA", at positions 129 to 677 of the family's 1533-position model. The record is from RNAcentral. Lineage: Bacteria; Bacillati; Actinomycetota; Actinomycetes; Pseudonocardiales; Pseudonocardiaceae.